This is an unclassified non-coding RNA of Otolemur garnettii (small-eared galago), 75 nucleotides long. It matches the Rfam family "Y RNA". From Rfam's summary of the family: Y RNAs are components of the Ro ribonucleoprotein particle (Ro RNP), in association with Ro60 and La proteins. Lineage: Eukaryota; Metazoa; Chordata; Mammalia; Primates; Galagidae. The record is from Ensembl.
GAUUGGUCCGAAGGUGGUGAAUUAUCUCACUUGAUUGUUCUUCCCCUUCUCACUACUGUGCUUGAUUAGUCUUUA